Molecule: unclassified non-coding RNA, 2557 nt
Filed under: Daphnia magna
Lineage: Eukaryota; Metazoa; Arthropoda; Branchiopoda; Diplostraca; Daphniidae
Description: uncharacterized LOC123474644, transcript variant X1
Source: RNAcentral
UACAUACCAUACACAGUAUAGAUUCGUUUUUCAGUUUGGGAAUGGCACUUACUGAACACCCAUUUCCGUUUGAUGAAUGAAUUGACAGAUUUCUGCACAGAUCUGAUCGUUUUCUUCAUAUGGAGACUGUUCUUGCAAUAAGUAACCUAUUCUUGGGUCUUUUCGUCAUCUUAGGCUUCACGGCUUCAAGCGGUGCUUCUGUAGAGAUCUGGGGAGCAAUCUUCCUGGUCGUAUUUGCUCUUUUUCUCAUCAGUAAAAAGCUGAAAACCAAGAGAAUCAUCAUUGGAAUGGCAGUGAAGGCUUCGUUGAUUGGUAUCACGCUACUGAUUUCUUACUCAAAGAGCCUUAGAAGCAAUCAAGGAUUACUCCACAAUUGCAAGUUGAUUCCCACGAUAGUCUAUGGAUUGAAAUUAUGUACGAUUUUGAAUCCUUAAUAUUUUUUCGGAUAACACAAAUGUGGACUUGGGCUCUUAAACAAAAAACACCUUGAUUUUACAUUUUGAUUUUAAUUGCAGCUUAGGUCAACCUGAACCAAAUAGAAUGAAAUAAAACAUUUGUUAUUUAACAUGCAAUUGGUUGGCAUUGUUCGUAAUCCGGUGCUUGAUCUUUAUUACUGAACUUUUAAUUUUCUUGCCAUAUUUGAUGCUAUUGGUUGCAUCUCAGCUUAUAAACGUUUGGUACCCACACUACCCACACAGAUUGCAGCACUAGCAGUUAGUGAUGCAACCUUCAUCCCGGAUUUGGUUUGUACGGGUAUCUGGGGUGGAGCCUUUCUCGUCCUGUUUGCUUCUUGCUGCAAAAACGAAUGAAAACCUGUUAAUUUACUGAUACCGUUGAUAACCGCAAUAGCGCAAAUUUCCCAUAAAUUUUGUACACGUAGGCUGAAUACUGGUACCAUCAAAGCUCUGGCAGUCUAUUCCAUGUUGAUUGGAUUCACAUUAAUUGGGUUGCACGCUUGGAACGUAAGCUCGUACAGCGAGUUUAUCGAUAGAUGUGAAUGGUUUCAAUUUAGUAACGAAAUUGGAUUAUGUAAGUAAAUGAUUCUAUACUUUGGUUACACUGCAGGAGGGAUUUUAACUGACCUUCUCUUUUGAAAUAGGUGGCCGAGUAGCCAUCGACUCGUUGAUGAUUUGCAGCGGAGGUCUGGUUGUCAUUCUCAACAUAUUUAUAGCUUCAAAAGCUCCUCCUAUGACUAACGUCUUUGCUUAAAACAUUUGGAACAUGAAUGUUUACCUUGUACUACAUAUAAAAGAAACGAAAAAAAUAUUACUAAAACAUCGAGAAUGUGUACAGGCAUUUUUAAGCGAACUAAGAUCACUCUCUCACCUAUGACAUGAAUCAAAUAUUGACGUGUAGAACAUUGCAACAUACCGGAAAAACAGUGGCGCCACCGCAAUGGGGAUGAUUCAUUCGACAUGCCUCUUAAAUCCGAUUGCGUGCAAACGUACUGGCCUUUUACAGUUGAUUAGUAAUAGAAGACACUUUGACACUUAAGCAUUUCCUUUAUCAGUGGCACUGGUCGUUGAACGCUUGGUUGGCAUUCCAUAUGGCUUCAACUGGCAUUCGGAAUUAAGACGAUUUUGUUUCAUCAUGGCUAAGUGACGCUAAUCUAAAAAUAAAACAACAUGUUACGUUCAGUGGUUAUCGGAUAAUACUUAGGUCUAUCUCAAUAUAUAUCAAGUUUCGUUCUCACACCACACUAUACAAGUCGUGUUUUCGGUAGGCAUUAUUUAAAAAGUCACGAAACCGACCCUAAUUGGCGGGUUAAAACUUGAAUUCGUUUCUUCCUUAAUACGAUAAAUUUUUGUGUGAAAACAUGAACAAAAUUCUGUGUGUUACCAAUGUGCUUGCGGGUCUUCUAGCGUUCAGUUUGCAGAAUGGGUUCCAUUUAUCAUAAUAUGGAUUAUCCUCUGGGGAGGAAUUUACCUAGUCAUCUUCGGUGUGCUCCUGAUCAAGAAAAAGUUUAAAUCGAGUGAUGCCGUCACUGGAAUGGCAGUCGUCGCCGUGUUGAUUGGUAUCACGUUAAUAGGACUUUUUUCGUGGAGAAUUAGUAGCUAUCAGGAAGCGAUAGCUAAUUGCGGUUUGACCAAAAUUUGUGACAGAGCUGCCAUCGAUUCCUUAAUGAUCAUCAGCGGCAUUUUAGCUGUAAUCGUCAACGGGAUCGUUGCCACAAAAGCAUCAUCGUUUGUUUCACAACAAAUAUGCUCAUGAAUUAUAUUUUUCUGUAACAUCGCCAGAGAACGAAUUGCACUUGGAUCAACCGAAUGUUUGCUAAACUGCUGAACCUUUCCACAAUGCAAAUUAAACAAAAUGAAAAGAACAAGAGCCUCUUUAUGUCAAUGUUUUAAAACUGCAUCAUCGGUCAUAUCGAUAAUUUGUUGUACGUGGAAGUUAACGGAAAAACGUACAACAUCUGCAGAAUAAUUGGAAACAAAUUUCGAUUACAUUUUCUAACCGAUAAAUCACCUCUGUGUUUCGAAAUACUGUACAACCAAUAAACUACUACGGUCAUUGGCCCUAUCAUUCAAAAAACAAUACAUGAAGCCGUUCAAUAACA